AAAUAGAUACCCCGGGGUAGUCCACGCCGUAAAACGAUGAAUGCCAGGUGUCAGGGGUUUCGAGACCCUUGGUGCCGAAGUUAACACAUUAAGCAUUCCGCCUGGGGGAGUACGGCCGCAAGGCUGAAACUCAAAGGAAUUGACGGGGGACCCGCACAAGCAGUGGAGCAUGUGGUUUAAUUCGAAGCAACGCGAAGAACCUUACCAGGUCUUGACAUCCCCCUGACCGGCGCAGAGAUGAGCCUUCCCCUUCGGGGGACAGGGGAGACAGGUGGUGCAUGGUUGUCGUCAGCUCGUGUCGUGAGAUGUUGGGUUAAGUCCCGCAACGAGCGCAACCCUUAGGUCCAGUUGCCAGCACUUCGGGGUGGGCACUCUGGAGCGACUGCCGGUGACAAACCGGAGGAAGGCGGGGAUGACGUCAAAUCAUCAUGCCCCUUAUGACCUGGGCUACACACGUGCUACAAUGGCCGGUACAAAGGGCAGCGAAGCCGCGAGGCGGAGCCAAUCCCAAAAAGCCGGUCUCAGUUCGGAUUGCAGG
This 538-nucleotide ribosomal RNA is filed under the name uncultured bacterium. RNAcentral's name for it is "bacterial SSU rRNA". It matches the Rfam family "Bacterial small subunit ribosomal RNA", at positions 776 to 1304 of the family's 1533-position model. The record is from RNAcentral.